RNAcentral lists this ribosomal RNA (1433 nucleotides) under uncultured organism. Its description in RNAcentral is "16S ribosomal RNA". It matches the Rfam family "Bacterial small subunit ribosomal RNA". The record is from RNAcentral.
CAGGCUUAACACAUGCAAGUCGAGGGGCAUCAGGAAGAAAGCUUGCUUUCUUUGCUGGCGACCGGCGCACGGGUGAGUAACACGUAUCCAACCUGCCCUUUACUCGGGGAUAGCCUUUCGAAAGAAAGAUUAAUACCCGAUAGCAUAAUGAUUCCGCAUGGUUUCAUUAUUAAAGGAUUCCGGUAAAGGAUGGGGAUGCGUUCCAUUAGGUUGUUGGUGAGGUAACGGCCCACCAAGCCUUCGAUGGAUAGGGGUUCUGAGAGGAAGGUCCCCCACAUUGGAACUGAGACACGGUCCAAACUCCUACGGGAGGCAGCAGUGAGGAAUAUUGGUCAAUGGGCGCUAGCCUGAACCAGCCAAGUAGCGUGAAGGAUGAAGGCUCUAUGGGUCGUAAACUUCUUUUAUAUAAGAAUAAAGUGCAGUAUGUAUACUGUUUUGUAUGUAUUAUAUGAAUAAGGAUCGGCUAACUCCGUGCCAGCAGCCGCGGUAAUACGGAGGAUCCGAGCGUUAUCCGGAUUUAUUGGGUUUAAAGGGAGCGUAGGUGGACUGGUAAGUCAGUUGUGAAAGUUUGCGGCUCAACCGUAAAAUUGCAGUUGAUACUGUCAGUCUUGAGUACAGUAGAGGUGGGCGGAAUUCGUGGUGUAGCGGUGAAAUGCUUAGAUAUCACGAAGAACUCCGAUUGCGAAGGCAGCUCACUGGACUGCAACUGACACUGAUGCUCGAAAGUGUGGGUAUCAAACAGGAUUAGAUACCCUGGUAGUCCACACAGUAAACGAUGAAUACUCGCUGUUUGCGAUAUACAGUAAGCGGCCAAGCGAAAGCAUUAAGUAUUCCACCUGGGGAGUACGCCGGCAACGGUGAAACUCAAAGGAAUUGACGGGGGCCCGCACAAGCGGAGGAACAUGUGGUUUAAUUCGAUGAUACGCGAGGAACCUUACCCGGGCCUAAAUUGCAGUGGAAUGAUGUGGAAACAUGUCAGUGAGCAAUCACCGCUGUGAAGGUGCUGCAUGGUUGUCGUCAGCUCGUGCCGUGAGGUGUCGGCUUAAGUGCCAUAACGAGCGCAACCCUUAUCUUUAGUUACUAACAGGUUAUGCUGAGGACUCUAGAGAGACUGCCGUCGUAAGAUGUGAGGAAGGUGGGGAUGACGUCAAAUCAGCACGGCCCUUACGUCCGGGGCUACACACGUGUUACAAUGGGGGGUACAGAAGGCAGCUAGCGGGUGACCGUAUGCUAAUCCCAAAAUCCUCUCUCAGUUCGGAUCGAAGUCUGCAACCCGACUUCGUGAAGCUGGAUUCGCUAGUAAUCGCGCAUCAGCCACGGCGCGGUGAAUACGUUCCCGGGCCUUGUACACACCGCCCGUCAAGCCAUGGGAGCCGGGGGUACCUGAAGUACGUAACCGCAAGGAUCGUCCUAGGGUAAAACUGGUGACUGGG